Molecule: ribosomal RNA, 467 nt
Filed under: uncultured bacterium
Lineage: Bacteria
Description: partial 16S ribosomal RNA
Rfam family: Bacterial small subunit ribosomal RNA
Source: RNAcentral
GACGAACGCUGGCGGCGUGCUUAACACAUGCAAGUCGAACGGAAAGGCCCUGCUUUUGUGGGGUGCUCGAGUGGCGAACGGGUGAGUAACACGUGAGUAACCUGCCCUUGACUUUGGGAUAACUUCAGGAAACUGGGGCUAAUACCGGAUAGGAGCUCCUGCUGCAUGGUGGGGGUUGGAAAGUUUCGGCGGUUGGGGAUGGACUCGCGGCUUAUCAGCUUGUUGGUGGGGUAGUGGCUUACCAAGGCUUUGACGGGUAGCCGGCCUGAGAGGGUGACCGGCCACAGUGGGACUGGGAUACGGCCCAGACUCCUACGGGAGGCAGCAGUGGGGAAUAUUGCACAAUGGGCGGAAGCCUGAUGCAGCAACGCCGCGUGCGGGAUGACGGCCUUCGGGUUGUAAACCGCUUUCGCCUGUGACGAAGCGUGAGUGACGGUAUGGGUAAAGAAGCACCGGCUAACUACGUG